This 932-nucleotide ribosomal RNA is filed under the name Bacillus magaterium. Its description in RNAcentral is "bacterial SSU rRNA". It matches the Rfam family "Bacterial small subunit ribosomal RNA", at positions 49 to 959 of the family's 1533-position model. The record is from RNAcentral. Lineage: Bacteria; Bacillati; Bacillota; Bacilli; Caryophanales; Bacillaceae.
UAUUACCUGGCCAAGUCGAGCGAACUGAUUAGAAGCUUGCUUCUAUGACGUUAGCGGCGGACGGGUGAGUAACACGUGGGCAACCUGCCUGUAAGACUGGGAUAACUUCGGGAAACCGAAGCUAAUACCGGAUAGGAUCUUCUCCUUCAUGGGAGAUGAUUGAAAGAUGGUUUCGGCUAUCACUUACAGAUGGGCCCGCGGUGCAUUAGCUAGUUGGUGAGGUAACGGCUCACCAAGGCAACGAUGCAUAGCCGACCUGAGAGGGUGAUCGGCCACACUGGGACUGAGACACGGCCCAGACUCCUACGGGAGGCAGCAGUAGGGAAUCUUCCGCAAUGGACGAAAGUCUGACGGAGCAACGCCGCGUGAGUGAUGAAGGCUUUCGGGUCGUAAAACUCUGUUGUUAGGGAAGAACAAGUACAAGAGUAACUGCUUGUACCUUGACGGUACCUAACCAGAAAGCCACGGCUAACUACGUGCCAGCAGCCGCGGUAAUACGUAGGUGGCAAGCGUUAUCCGGAAUUAUUGGGCGUAAAGCGCGCGCAGGCGGUUUCUUAAGUCUGAUGUGAAAGCCCACGGCUCAACCGUGGAGGGUCAUUGGAAACUGGGGAACUUGAGUGCAGAAGAGAAAAGCGGAAUUCCACGUGUAGCGGUGAAAUGCGUAGAGAUGUGGAGGAACACCAGUGGCGAAGGCGGCUUUUUGGUCUGUAACUGACGCUGAGGCGCGAAAGCGUGGGGAGCAAACAGGAUUAAAUACCCUGGUAGUCCACGCCGUAAACGAUGAGUGCUAAGUGUUAGAGGGUUUCCGCCCUUUAGUGCUGCAGCUAACGCAUUAAGCACUCCGCCUGGGGAGUACGGUCGCAAGACUGAAACUCAAAGGAAUUGACGGGGGCCCGCACAAGCGGUGGAGCAUGUGGUUUAAUUCGAAGCAA